AUUGAGGACCACAUGUCAUCCCUGAUGCUCACCCUUGGACACCAUGGAUAAAGAAGGAGGAUGGCACAGGGGAUGUUUCUGCAGAUACGAAUUAAGAAUCUCGAGUUGCAAUCAUCUUGGAUUUAGACUGAAACUUAAUUGAUGUCAUCAUGAGAGAGCAGAGGACUCCCAGGGCACAGGGAGACAGGACUGAUAUGGCCAUCAGGCAGGAGCACCCGGGACUGCCAUAGCACCAACCUGGGACAGAUAGGGAAGGACCCUAGAGACCCAGGGAUCACAGCCCCAUGGCACCUUGAUCAGGACUGGUGAGUAAUCUCUGCUGUCAGUUUGACUGGAGUCAGAGACCUUGGAGAGGUG
RNAcentral lists this long non-coding RNA (357 nucleotides) under Fukomys damarensis (Damara mole-rat). RNAcentral's name for it is "lncRNA (ENSFDAG00000022324.1)". The record is from RNAcentral. Lineage: Eukaryota; Metazoa; Chordata; Mammalia; Rodentia; Bathyergidae.